AGUAACACGUGGGUUACCUGCCCCGAUGAUUGGGACAACCCGAGGAAACUCGGGCUAAUACCAAAUGUGCUCCUGGCCGUGAUGGCCUUGAGGAAAGGAAGCUUCGGCCUCCGCAUCGGGAUGGGCCCGCGGCCCAUUAGCUAGUUGGUGAGGUAACGGCUCACCAAGGCUUCGACGGGUAGCUGGUCUGAGAGGACGAUCAGCCGGAUUGGGACUGAGAUACGGCCCAG
RNAcentral lists this ribosomal RNA (230 nucleotides) under uncultured bacterium. RNAcentral's name for it is "partial 16S ribosomal RNA". It matches the Rfam family "Bacterial small subunit ribosomal RNA", at positions 109 to 334 of the family's 1533-position model. The record is from RNAcentral.